UAGGAGUAUGAUCAAAGUCAGACACUCGACC
This 31-nucleotide non-coding RNA is filed under the name Rattus norvegicus (Norway rat). Lineage: Eukaryota; Metazoa; Chordata; Mammalia; Rodentia; Muridae. The record is from RNAcentral.